ACUCAAAGGAGACUGCCAGUGAUAAACUGGAGGAAGGUGGGGAUGACGUCAAGUCAUCAUGGCCCUUACGAGUAGGGCUACACACGUGCUACAAUGGCGCAUACAAAGAGAAGCGACCUCGCGAGAGCAAGCGGACCUCAUAAAGUGCGUCGUAGUCCGGAUUGGAGUCUGCAACUCGACUCCAUGAAGUCGGAAUCGCUAGUAAUCGUGGAUCAGAAUGCCACGGUGAAUACGUUCCCGGGCCUUGUACACACCGCCCGUCACACCAUGGGAGUGGGUUGCAAAAGAAGUAGGUAGCUUAACCUUCGGGAGGGCGCUUACCACUUUGUGAUUCAUGACUGGGGUGAAGUCGUAACAAGGUAACCGUAGGGGAACCUGCGGUUGGAUCACCUCCUU
This 396-nucleotide ribosomal RNA is filed under the name Enterobacter hormaechei. Its description in RNAcentral is "bacterial SSU rRNA". It matches the Rfam family "Bacterial small subunit ribosomal RNA", at positions 1137 to 1532 of the family's 1533-position model. Lineage: Bacteria; Pseudomonadati; Pseudomonadota; Gammaproteobacteria; Enterobacterales; Enterobacteriaceae. The record is from RNAcentral.